UACGUGCAGUUUUUUCUUGAUUUCAAUGCUAAAUUCGAUCAAAUUUUUGCUUCUCUGCUAUAUUCAUCGUAGUGUUUGUCAUCAUAGUUAUAUUGAGUGAUUUUGAUUAGUUAUAAACCUCUUCAAUCCUCUACUUUUCUCCCCACACAAGUGACAUCAGCCGCUCCUCUCUGGCCUGAAUUUCAAGUCUAGAAGCAACCUUCAAAUUCCGGUGACUGAAGCUGAGAAGUGCGCAUCUGCCUCAAUGACGUUGCAAAUCUUCUCUACUAUACAUUAAAAAUUAGGUUGUUGCCGCAAUACACUGGCUUGCCCUCUUCAGAAGAUCGAUUCUUUGUUACGAUCAAACGGCAUGUUCAUAGUUACUUCGUGAGCUGGCCCAUAGUGUGCAUACAUAUUUUAUUUUCUUCAAAUUUUAAAUUCGGGGCCCCCUUCCCACUUUUUUUAUAGCUUUUGCUUAUACCUAAGUACAGUGAUCUUGACAUUGAUCAAAAUAAAUAAUUGAAUUCAACAGGUGCUAAUUUUUAAGUUAGAAUUGUGGGAGUUUGUAUUUAUUUUCCAAUUUUGUUCGUACCUUUCAGAGU
This 581-nucleotide long non-coding RNA is filed under the name Bemisia tabaci. Its description in RNAcentral is "lncRNA ENSSSA3NGG010988". The record is from RNAcentral. Lineage: Eukaryota; Metazoa; Arthropoda; Insecta; Hemiptera; Aleyrodidae.